RNAcentral lists this ribosomal RNA (748 nucleotides) under Halomonas sp. RNAcentral's name for it is "bacterial SSU rRNA". It matches the Rfam family "Bacterial small subunit ribosomal RNA", at positions 39 to 787 of the family's 1533-position model. Lineage: Bacteria; Pseudomonadati; Pseudomonadota; Gammaproteobacteria; Oceanospirillales; Halomonadaceae. The record is from RNAcentral.
GCAGCGGAGCUACCAUGCAGUCGAGCGGUAACAGAUCCAGCUUGCUGGAUGCUGACGAGCGGCGGACGGGUGAGUAAUGCAUAGGAAUCUGCCCGAUAGUGGGGGAUAACCUGGGGAAACCCAGGCUAAUACCGCAUACGUCCUACGGGAGAAAGGGGGCUUCGGCUCCCGCUAUCGGAUGAGCCUAUGUCGGAUUAGCUAGUUGGUGAGGUAACGGCUCACCAAGGCCACGAUCCGUAGCUGGUCUGAGAGGAUGAUCAGCCACAUCGGGACUGAGACACGGCCCGAACUCCUACGGGAGGCAGCAGUGGGGAAUAUUGGACAAUGGGGGGAACCCUGAUCCAGCCAUGCCGCGUGUGUGAAGAAGGCCCUCGGGUUGUAAAGCACUUUCAGCGAGGAAGAACGCCUAGCGGUUAAUACCCGCUAGGAAAGACAUCACUCGCAGAAGAAGCACCGGCUAACUCCGUGCCAGCAGCCGCGGUAAUACGGAGGGUGCAAGCGUUAAUCGGAAUUACUGGGCGUAAAGCGCGCGUAGGUGGCUUGAUAAGCCGGUUGUGAAAGCCCCGGGCUCAACCUGGGAACGGCAUCCGGAACUGUCAAGCUAGAGUGCAGGAGAGGAAGGUAGAAUUCCCGGUGUAGCGGUGAAAUGCGUAGAGAUCGGGAGGAAUACCAGUGGCGAAGGCGGCCUUCUGGACUGACACUGACACUGAGGUGCGAAAGCGUGGGUAGCAAACAGGAUUAGAUACCU